UUACUACAUUAUUUUAUUUAUUAUUUUUUUUUUUAUGAAAAUGAAUUAUUUUUCAAUAAUCAAAUUCUUUGUUUUAGUAUUUGCUUCUUGUAACUACGUGGCACAAUGCUUAAAAAAAAUAGAAGAAAUUGUAGAAGGGAAUUUAAAAAUUUUAAGUGGAGAUUUAAAUGAAAAUAUAAAAUUAGUUUGUGACCAAAGGCAAUAUAUUCAUAUUUUAGAUGCUAGUUAUGGAAAACCAUACGUUGAUCAUUUCUUAAUAAAAAAAAAUUCAUUGGAUGCGCCACAUACAUUGCCAGUUGUUCAAAUGAUGUGUGAAGGAAAAGAAAAUUGUGAUAUAAGUGUAAACAAUGAGACAUUCAAAAUUCUUUCUUUGAUAACAAAAUUUAAUAAACUUAUAAUAAAGUAUUCCUGUGUACCUUCUAAGCCAAGUUCCUUUCCGUCAUGUAUAUUAUUAUUAAAACUAUUUCUAACUUUAAAAAAAAAUAAAAUACGAACAAAAUAUUUUUACAAAAAAUAAAAGUGGUGGAAAACAUUUUAUCUUUAUAUACGUACAUGUGCUUAUGCAUUUACGCACAUAUAUAUAUAUACGUUUUGUUACUUUCUAUGUAAUACUUCGUGUAGAUAACAUAAAAGCCAAAACAGGGAACGAUCAUAUUUGGGAUGUUCAAGUUGAAGGUUUUAAAAAACAAUUAAAAAAAUAAACCUGUUUGAGUUUUAAUCA
This 721-nucleotide long non-coding RNA is filed under the name Piliocolobus tephrosceles (Ugandan red Colobus). Its description in RNAcentral is "lncRNA (ENSPTEG00000006852.1)". Lineage: Eukaryota; Metazoa; Chordata; Mammalia; Primates; Cercopithecidae. The record is from RNAcentral.